RNAcentral lists this ribosomal RNA (465 nucleotides) under Vreelandella stevensii. Its description in RNAcentral is "partial 16S ribosomal RNA". It matches the Rfam family "Bacterial small subunit ribosomal RNA", at positions 338 to 795 of the family's 1533-position model. The record is from RNAcentral. Lineage: Bacteria; Pseudomonadati; Pseudomonadota; Gammaproteobacteria; Oceanospirillales; Halomonadaceae.
CCUACGGGAGGCAGCAGUGGGGAAUAUUGGACAAUGGGGGGAACCCUGAUCCAGCCAUGCCGCGUGUGUGAAGAAGGCCCUCGGGUUGUAAAGCACUUUCAGUGAGGAAGAACGCCUGGUGGUUAAUACCCAUCAGGAAAGACAUCACUCACAGAAGAAGCACCGGCUAACUCCGUGCCAGCAGCCGCGGUAAUACGGAGGGUGCGAGCGUUAAUCGGAAUUACUGGGCGUAAAGCGCGCGUAGGUGGCUUGAUAAGCCGGUUGUGAAAGCCCCGGGCGCAACCUGGGAACGGCAUCCGGAACUGUCAAGCUAGAGUGCAGGAGAGGAAGGUAGAAUUCCAGGUGUAGCGGUGAAAUGCGUAGAGAUCGGGAGGAAUACCAGUGGCGAAGGCGGCCUUCUGGACUGACACUGACACUGAGGUGCGAAAGCGUGGGUAGCAAACAGGAUUAGAUACCCUAGUAGUC